UAACCUGCCCAAGAGAUCGGGAUAACACCUGGAAACAGAUGCUAAUACCGGAUAANAACAGAUGAUGCCUAUCAACUGUUUAAAAGAUGGUUCUGCUAUCACUCUUGGAUGGACCUGCGGUGCAUUAGCUAGUUGGUAGGGUAACGGCCUACCAAGGCGAUGAUGCAUAGCCGAGUUGAGAGACUGAUCGGCCACAUUGGGACUGAGACACGGCCCAAACUCCUACGGGAGGCAGCAGAC
Molecule: ribosomal RNA, 240 nt
Filed under: uncultured Lactobacillus sp.
Lineage: Bacteria; Bacillati; Bacillota; Bacilli; Lactobacillales; Lactobacillaceae
Description: partial 16S ribosomal RNA
Rfam family: Bacterial small subunit ribosomal RNA
Source: RNAcentral